CAGUCGCCGCGGGUAUACAGAGGGUGCGAGCGUUAAUCGGAUUUACUGGGCGUAAAGCGUGCGUAGGCGGCUUCUUAAGUCGGAUGUGAAAUCCCUGAGCUUAACUUAGGAAUUGCAUUCGAUACUGGGAAGCUAGAGUAUGGGAGAGGAUGGUAGAAUUCCAGGUGUAGCGGUGAAAUGCGUAGAGAUCUGGAGGAAUACCGAUGGCGAAGGCAGCCAUCUGGCCUAAUACUGACGCUGAGGUACGAAAGCAUGGGGAGCAAACAGGAUUAGAUACCCCCGUAGUCCCUGUCUCUUAUAC
RNAcentral lists this ribosomal RNA (301 nucleotides) under uncultured bacterium. RNAcentral's name for it is "partial 16S ribosomal RNA". It matches the Rfam family "Bacterial small subunit ribosomal RNA", at positions 509 to 807 of the family's 1533-position model. The record is from RNAcentral.